CUUAAAGAUUAUUGUCUACAAGGAAUUUUGUAGAUUAAGUGAGUCGAGGUUAUCAUUUGAUAAACAUCGCAGAUUUCUUACAUUAAUAUCGGGGAUAGGUAUUUGGUGGGCAUAUGGGUAUUAGACAUGUAGAUGUUUUGUGGACUGAUAAUCAAAAGGUUGGGAAAGGUGGGAAAUUUAUGAUUAGGUGCUUUGGUCUUAUUGACUGGUUAUGAACAUUUCG
Molecule: long non-coding RNA, 223 nt
Organism: Diospyros lotus (date-plum)
Lineage: Eukaryota; Viridiplantae; Streptophyta; Magnoliopsida; Ericales; Ebenaceae
Exons: 3
Source: RefSeq, a predicted model, not a curated record